This 301-nucleotide ribosomal RNA is filed under the name uncultured bacterium. Its description in RNAcentral is "partial 16S ribosomal RNA". It matches the Rfam family "Bacterial small subunit ribosomal RNA", at positions 509 to 807 of the family's 1533-position model. The record is from RNAcentral.
CAGCCGCCGCGGGAACACGUAGGGUGCAAGCGUUAAUCGGAAUUACUGGGCGUAAAGCGUGCGCAGGCGGUUUGUUAAGACAGAUGUGAAAUCCCCGGGCUCAACCUGGGAACUGCAUUUGUGACUGGCAAGCUAGUGUGUGGCAGAGGGGGGUGGAAUUCCGCGUGUAGCAGUGAAAUGCGUAGAUAUGCGGAGGAACACCGAUGGCGAAGGCAGCCCACUGAGCCAACACUGACGCUCAUGCACGAAAGCGUGGGGAGCAAACAGGAUUAGAUACCCCAGUAGUCCCUGUCUCUUAUAC